AAGUCGUAACAAGGUUUCCGUAGGUGAACCUGCGGAAGGAUCAUUAUCGAAAUAAAUUUCAUCCUCGCUGUUGCGGCCGAGAGGCCUGCACGCUUGGAAUGUGAUUCUCACACCAGUGCACCUUCGGGCUUCGGCCCGCCAUUAUACAAACAUCCUUACGUGUCAGAAUGUAACACCUUUUUGUAAUAACAAAAACACAACUUUCAACAACGGAUCUCUUGGCUCUC
This 227-nucleotide unclassified non-coding RNA is filed under the name air metagenome. RNAcentral's name for it is "partial contains small subunit ribosomal RNA, internal transcribed spacer 1, and 5.8S ribosomal RNA". The stretch from base 1 to 46 matches the Rfam family "Eukaryotic small subunit ribosomal RNA", at positions 1786 to 1831 of the family's 1831-position model. The record is from RNAcentral.